RNAcentral lists this ribosomal RNA (474 nucleotides) under uncultured bacterium. Its description in RNAcentral is "bacterial SSU rRNA". It matches the Rfam family "Bacterial small subunit ribosomal RNA", at positions 335 to 799 of the family's 1533-position model. The record is from RNAcentral.
ACUCCUACGGGAGGCAGCAGUGGGGAAUAUUGCACAAUGGGGGAAACCCUGAUGUAGCCAUGCCGCGUGUGUGAAGAAGGCCUUCGGGUUGUAAAGCACUUUCAGUAGGGAGGAAGGUAGUGUAGUUAACACCUGCAUUAUUUGACGUUACCUACAGAAGAAGCACCGGCUAACUCCGUGCCAGCAGCCGCGGUAAUACGGAGGGUGCGAGCGUUAAUCGGAAUUACUGGGCGUAAAGCGCAUGCAGGCGGCCUGUUAAGUCAGAUGUGAAAGCCCGGGGCUUAACCUCGGAAUUGCAUUUGAAACUGGCAGGCUAGAGUCUUGUAGAGGGGGGUAGAAUUUCAGGUGUAGCGGUGAAAUGCGUAGAGAUCUGAAGGAAUACCAGUGGCGAAGGCGGCCCCCUGGACAAAGACUGACGCUCAGAUGCGAAAAGCGUGGGGAGCAAACAGGAUUAGAUACCCUGGUAGGAUAGCG